GUCUAUGGCCAUAUCACCCUGAAUAUGCCCGAUCUCUUCUGAUCUCGGAAGCUAAGCAGGGUCGGGCCUGGUUAGUCCUUGGAUGAGAGACUGGCUGGGAAUACCCGGUGCUAUAGGUU
Molecule: ribosomal RNA, 119 nt
Organism: Rattus norvegicus (Norway rat)
Lineage: Eukaryota; Metazoa; Chordata; Mammalia; Rodentia; Muridae
Source: Ensembl